Molecule: ribosomal RNA, 165 nt
Filed under: Gnetum klossii
Lineage: Eukaryota; Viridiplantae; Streptophyta; Gnetopsida; Gnetales; Gnetaceae
Description: 5.8S ribosomal RNA
Rfam family: 5.8S ribosomal RNA
About the family: 5.8S ribosomal RNA (5.8S rRNA) is a component of the large subunit of the eukaryotic ribosome. It is transcribed by RNA polymerase I as part of the 45S precursor that also contains 18S and 28S rRNA.
Source: RNAcentral
ACCAUGACUCUCGACAAUGGAUAUCUCAGCUCUCGUUUCAAUGAAGAACGUAGCGAAAUGCGAUACUUUGUGUGAAUUGCAGAAUCCCAUGAAUCAUCGAAUCUUUGAACGCAAGUUGUGCCCGAGGCCCUAGGUCGAGGGCACGUCUGGCUGGGUGCGGUGAUG